UCCUGGUUUUCACACCUCUAGCUAUCGUCAUUUUCCUGUUCCCCUUUUCUCUGUCAGGGGAGAGCGAGUUGCAGGCGAUGGGGGAGUCGGCGCCUCGGGGGUGAUGGUCUCCCCAACGGCGGAGGGCUUGGAUUCACCUGUGGUGGAGGUGAAAUCGGUGAAGGCCAGCAGAGCCAGGAGUCGGGUGUAGUCUGCUCGUUCUUCUCCCUGUGUUUUGGUCGCUCUCUGGCUGCGAGAUAAUGGGCUUGCGCGGAGGCAGAGGAGCUGGGUUCCUCCAUGUCCAUGGCAAAGCUUCUAGCAAGCGACCCCCGUUUCGAGGUGGCGGUAGGAGGCUGCGUCCCCGGCGGGACGGCUAUCUUUUCUUCAUCCGUUGCUCUCCUUCUAGCUAUAUGUGCGCCUUGGCAUCGUAGACUUUGUAGGAUCGCACACUGGAUCUAGUUAUUUCGUUGUUCUUAGGUGGGGGUGGGGGCAACCCGAAUAGAUGGACUGGGAGAUGUUUUUGAGAGGCGGUUCUCAUCUAUGUGCCCCCGUGGUACUUUCCCCCAAAUUUUUCCAUCGUAUUUUUAGGCUACGUAGCUUUUUGACUUUGAUGGUGAAGUCGGAGCUGAAUGCUACAAUCCUACACAUAGAGUAGCACUAUUUAUCAUGCUUAGGAUCAUAAUUCAGUGAACUACCCAUUUUUAGGAUAAUUUUUUGUCUGAAUCAAAGCAUUAGAUAAGCUGCAUAACUAGGAUUGACAAAUAUUUUUCAUUGAUUCCACUGUUACUUUAGUCACUAGAAUGGUAAUUUAUUGUGUGUAGAGAUCAUAUGAGGGUUUAGGCAGCCCAUUUUGUCAUUUUUGAACUGAAUUUCAUGCAGUCAUGAAUAGUCCGAAUAGAUUCAGUGUUUUCUGUUUCCGUUGUUAGUGGUACGGCUGUUAGUGGCUGGCAGAUGGACUGGACAGUAGGAGAGUAGAUUCAGAAAUAGUGAGGUGGUUGCUGGUGCUUUCGAGUUUGUACUGUGUGUUUUUUCUUAGUUUUACAGUAGGAGCUUGUGACGAUGAAGAAUGAAAUAGGAGAUGGGCUAACCUUUAUUUUGUCCUGUUUUACAUGUUUGUGUUUGAUUCUUUAAAGUGUUGUUCCGAUCUGUAGUUGGAAGAGUGUUGUUUGAUUUGGUUAGGAUCAUUUAGUGCCUAUAAAUUUAAGGCUGGGAGCAGGUGUUGUCAUCAAGGGGUAUCAAAGAGGUUGCGCGCUUCCCUAUUGUUUCAAUCAAGUUUUUAGUGGUCAGUGGACAUAUAUGCAUACACAUACUACAUGUUGGAGAAGAAAUCAUCUUGGAUAUCAUGUGCUGUUGGAAAUCAUCUUGGAUAGUUUUUGCGACCGUGGGUUUUCCAUACAUGUGAAAAGAAAUCAUCUUGGAUAUCAAGUGAUGUUGGAAAGCCUUGUUAGAUAUAUCCCUGAAUCAACCUGCAAUACAAUAUUUUGUUUUCCAGUCGUUGAAGAAUCAUAUAGUAUGGCUAAGUUUUAUCAGUAUCUCAGUAUUAUCACUAACUCGGUUCUAUCAUUCUUAGCUCAGUUUAUCAUUUAUAUAGCUCAGUAUUAUCACUAGCUCAGUUUCUCAUUCAUAUCAUUAUUUUUUUUCGUUUCUUAUUUUUCAAGUUCUUCCAUCCUUAUUCUCUUUCUCCGUUUCUCAUUCUGUCUGAUUAUCUUAGUCCUUGUUACUUCAUUUUAUCUCUGUGUCAUCAUUUAUGCUUCUUCAAUAAAUGUUGAAAUAAGCAAAUUAUUCUUCUCUGUAAUUAUCUCAGUCACUCAUUCAUAUCAUUAUUUUUCCCAAUUUCCAGCCUUUCAUUUAGCUUCGUUAGUUAUCUCAUUCUCUUGAGUUAUCUAUUGUGAAGAAAAGCUCAUUUUCUCCGUUCCUUUUUAGUUUGAUCAGCUUAUUAUUUCUGUAGGUCUAUCUCUUUCUUCAUUUGUUUCAUCUCUCAGUUUGUCUAAAUUUUCUUCGUAUUCUCUCGGUCUCUCUAUUUCUGUCAGUCUGAUUAUCUUAAUGUUGUCUUAGUCAUUAUUUUUCAGUUCUUCAUUUGUCUAGUCUCUCAGUUUGUCUAAGUUUUCUUCGGUCUUCAUUAUUUCAUGUGCUGCGGAAGAGGCCCAAAGAUCACUCGGUCUUAUUCUCUUAGUCCUUGUUCAUUUUAAAUAAUUCUCUAUGUCUCUUUCUUCAUUCUCUCAUUUUAAUUCUCGUCAAAUUAUCUCAGUCUUUGUUUCUUAAUUUUUAUGUCUGUCUCAGUCUUCGUAUUUGGAUUCUUCAGUUUGGGUUAUUCUUUAAUUUCUCAGCCUUUCAUUCCUGUAUUCUUAGUCAAAUUCUCUCAGUCUCAUCCUCUCAUUGUCUCUAUAAUUUGAUCAUUGUUCUCUUCAUGGUUCAAAAAAGGGUUAAGCAAGCAGUGAGGCACCGCGCAGACGAAUUGAAGCUUAAGCGAGCUUAAGCACAGCAUAAGCGUUAUGUACUGAAACAUCAGAAAAUAGGGAAGAAAUUAUGGGCAUGUAGGAGCAGAGAAGUAGAGGAGAGUGGUGCUUGCUAGUAGCGACACCAUUGUUGCUAUUCAUGUGUGCGUGAAAGUGAGUGAGAGAAAGAGAUGAUAAGAUUAGAUGGAUGGCGCAGGUUAGAAAUGAUAAAUGUCUCAAACUAGGUUAGCAGACUAGGAUUCGAUAAUGGGCUAACUCUGUAGCAGGAAAGAGACCAUUAGCAUGAGUAUCAUACGCCCGUAUUGUGCUAUUGGGCCUUAUGAGCGUUUAAGUAGUCGCUAAGGGCCUAAGCGAAGCGUUUUUCCAUCGCUCAGCGCUUAAGCGAACACUUAGUUCUGCUUUCUUGAACCAUGGUUCUCUUUCAUGUAUUUAGUCUUCAAUCUCAUUCCUUUCUAUCAUUCUCUUUCUCACAGGCUUCAGUCUUUUCUUAGUGAUAUUAAUCUCUUUUUUUCUUGUAUGAAUGGGCUUUAGUGAACAUAAGCGGUGGUGCUGGAUGCCAUGGCAACGUUACACCCGCAUAGGAAAAGGCCGAUCAAAAGAGACCCAUGCGCACCUAUUUUACCAUUUCUACGAUGCUCGAUGAUCAACACUCUAGUACUCUGGGACUGAGUGCAUGGGUGCAGGGAUACUUAUCUCAGAUUAUCAGUGCUUAUUAUUGACUCUCAGUGCUUAUUAUUGGAUCGUGAGCUAACAAUGAUCGUGAGAUGUAGUCUGCUAAGAAAGCCAUGGGUGGAGCAGUUGUAGCAUUGUGUCUGCCGGAGGAGAAAGAGUGCUGACUUGGUGGUAGUUGGUAGAACAUGCGAGGAAAUAGUAGGCAUUUUGCUGUUAACUGUGUAAAUCCCAAAAUGGUGAUAACAUGAUUUCCCUCAUUAAGUCUGUUUGUUUCAUUA
Molecule: non-coding RNA, 3385 nt
Organism: Lolium perenne
Lineage: Eukaryota; Viridiplantae; Streptophyta; Magnoliopsida; Poales; Poaceae
Source: RefSeq, a predicted model, not a curated record